AACGAACGCUGGCGGCGUGCCUAACACAUGCAAGUCGAGGGAGAAAGCCGCAAGGUGAGUAAACCGGCGAACGGGUGCGUAACACGUGGAUAAUCUACCUCCAUGACCGGGACAACUGGCCGAAAGGCUUGCUAAUACCGGAUAAGACCCCGGGGACUUCGGUUCCUGAGGGAAAAGGUGGCCUCUGUAUACAAGCUAUCGCAGGGAGAUGAGUCCGCGGCCCAUCAGCUAGUUGGCGGGGUAAAAGCCCACCAAGGCAACGACGGGUAG
This 270-nucleotide ribosomal RNA is filed under the name uncultured bacterium. RNAcentral describes it as "partial 16S ribosomal RNA". It matches the Rfam family "Bacterial small subunit ribosomal RNA", at positions 29 to 286 of the family's 1533-position model. The record is from RNAcentral.